Molecule: long non-coding RNA, 1209 nt
Organism: Daphnia carinata
Lineage: Eukaryota; Metazoa; Arthropoda; Branchiopoda; Diplostraca; Daphniidae
Exons: 8
Source: RefSeq, a predicted model, not a curated record
GUUCGAUGUUAAGCAUUUUUAUUUCUUAUGUAUUCCUGACACAUGAUUUUACCAGCCUCAAUUCAAUGAACAGUAACAAAAGUUACAAAGACAAACUGCAAUCCAACAGCAUUGAAAGUGUUGGGUUAUCGGUGUGACCCAGGAACUGAGCCCCGCCACCGCCCCGUUGUAGAAAAUGUCUCCCUGUCAUCCCGUGAUUGGCCCAUUCCAGGCAUGGGGGAGGGUGGUGAGCCCCGAAUCACAGCCAGUCAGGUGUUUAGGGCCGACUACUGCUUUCAUGUCGCAUUACGGCUUAUUUGGAAAAGUAUGACAACAAGGCAUAAGGAAUUUUCUGGCGCUUAACUGACAAGAAAGAAAAGGUCUUUCUUCAUUCGGGCGCAAAAUUUUUAGUCAAGAGAUUCCUACAAGGAAUUUCCGUUUAUUGGCCUGUCUGAGAAAUGCUGUUUAUUUCCAUCUCUUGUCAGACAAAAAUGAAGCAGGGCAUUCAAAAGGGCAGUUUUCUUCUCUGAAUAAACAUCCAGUAUAAGCAAGGAAAAAAGUGUCAAAUCAGGCUUCAUUUCCGCUCAGUGACGUGGACUAUGAACAAUACAUUGUUGGGAAAAUUCUCGGCCUGAGGAGAAGGAUGGUGAAGCUGGGUAUUUGCUGAAAGGGAUUGGUGUUUCAAACAAUGGUAGCCCAAGAAAAUCUUUAUUGUAAUAAUUUGAUUGCAGCAUUCAAAAGCAAACGUCUACCGUUGAAUGAGAAUCCUGAAAACAAGCUAAGCCAAGAGAAGAAAAGUGGAGAAAAAAGGAACUUAAGCCCAGUUUUCUCCAUGUUAUUAUGGAUGCCCAGUCUUCCAACAGGAUUUGAUCGAAAUGUAGAGGCGAAGACAAUUUUAGGAGCGAGCGAUGACGGUGACGAAACUAUAUAGAUAGUUGUAGUGAUGUGUAAAGAAUGGUGGUUACAGGGCAGGAGAGUUAUUCUAUUAUACAGUCCUGUUCCAUUUUUAUUAUAAAUUGUCUUUUUAGCUGCUGAAUGUAGCUGGAAUAUGAAAUAUUGGAAUGGCUGACCAGAAUUACAAACACAUUUUUGCAGCAGUUUUUCAGCGAUAACAAUGCUCAGAAUAAUUCGGCUGAGUAUAAUAUUUUUAACUAGCAACAAUGAACAUUGAAUGAUUGUAUUCUACAUGGCAUUAUAGCUGCCCAGACUUCUAACAAGAAUUAAUCAAAA